Long non-coding RNA from Tympanuchus pallidicinctus (lesser prairie-chicken), 2585 nucleotides. RefSeq lists it as uncharacterized. NCBI's taxonomy places the organism in Eukaryota, Metazoa, Chordata, Aves, Galliformes, Phasianidae. The transcript has 3 exons. The record is from RefSeq and is a predicted model, not a curated record.
GAAUCUUGCUUACCUGAGGCCUUCUGAAGAGUGUAAAACAUGGGAAAGGUGACAGAGCAGAACUUGGAGAUGCUUGGUGGAAUUUGUCUUCAUUUUUUGAACAUGUGUGAGUUGUCAGUGUCCCCGCUCCAUGUGGCAGAGGUGGAGGAGCCCAAGAUUGUCAACACCCACUGGGUAUUUCCUGAAGAAAAGCCUGGAUUUAUCUGCCUGACAGCAAUGAAUGCACAGAGAGAUGCAUGGUGACAGCUCUCUGCCUUCAUGUCCCCACUGCUGGUGUCCUCCUUGUCCCACAUGGGCCACAGAGCAGGUUUCCUGCUCUCCCAGUGUGAAGCACUUUGGCGCUGGAGGACGAGUUUGCAUUUCAGAUGUGCUAUGGACAUCAGCAUCAUCUUACCAUUUCUGUCCUCAAAAUUCCUUUCCAAAGGAAGUAGCCCUCCUCAUCGGAGCCUAUGAUCUCAAUGCAGCAUGUUUUUUUUCUCUGCCGUUUCCCCAGAAGCAUGAUGCUUUCUGUGACAUUUUUUCCCCCCCAGAUUCUGCCCUCAUCGUGUCUCCACUCAUUAAUGUGGGGUAUGUUUAUGGAUCUAAUUCUCCACAGGUUCUAAGGCCGGAGCAACUCUGUUGGAGUUAAAACAAACACUCGCUUGCUUCAGUCAUGUGAGCUCUGGUCAAACUUGGGUAAACUUAAAAGUUAACCAAGACUUGUUCAGGCUUUGAUAGUUGAACUGUAUUUGAAUGGAUUUUAUCAGAUUUUCCCAAAUGAUUCACCUCCAGGCUAAAAAGUGAACAGAAGGCAAAUCUGUGAUUCACAAAGAGAGGCAGCAGCACCACAGGGGCUGCAGGGCAGGCUCCAUCCAUCCAUGGCUGGCACCAUUUGCAUGGCACCAAGGGCGGGUGGUUUGGGGACACAUGGCAGCCAUGGCUCACAUGUCCCUAGCCCUGCCACGUGCCAGAUUUCCACUAUUUUUUUUUUUUCUAGGAGGGGGAAGAUUACACAGCCUCGUGUAUCUUCUGGCUCUGUUCAUUUUUUUUUUUGCUUGGACAAAGGCAAAGUUAGUCAAGUGGGUCUCAUAUUUAUUAAAGGAAUUUUACUUGUUCACUAGAUUGGCAGCAGUGUGAAGCAUAGAGGAUGCAAGCCCAGUGGACGUUUUUAUUUUAACAAUGGAAAUAUGCAAUCUGUCUCAGGAAAAUACAGCUGCUGAACAAAUUAACUUGUGUUGAAUGCUUAUUGGGGGUCUACAACUCAUUCUUUUGUUCUUCCUGUUCAGCAACUGUGUUUUUCUGACCAAGACAUAAUAGAUCGUGGCUCUGAAGAGCCUUUCAAUGGACGAUCUCCAAGUACUCGACAAACAUUAGUGAUUUGCUUGGAAAAGACUAAACCUUACCAUAAAUCCAGAGGAUAUUACCUAGAGUGCAGGGUGAAAAGUACAUUGCAGCUACCAGAGCGUUGCAGAAUGGUGUGUUUAAUAGGACUGACACAUACCAGGGGAUGUGCUCUGAUGGGGCGUCUGCUGUCAAGCUGUGACAUUGAUUCUUUCAUUUACUAAGGCAUUAAGAGGAUAUAAUAACAAGGUCUUAAUUCUUUUUCCAAAUUAAGGUGCUUGCGUGCAAGCAAGCAUCCAGAUCACUUCAUGGCAUUGUACCCAAGCCCUGGCUCCCACCCAGGUCUCUGCUGGCAUGUCCCUCUUCUGCUCCUAUAGGAAGCAGCCCACCCCACUGACCAGCUGGGAAUGUCCCUGACACAUGGCUGUUUGCUGGGUAACCUGAGAUUGCUAAAUGCUGUUGUGUUGCAAAGCUUUCCCCUGGCCAAGCAAUGAAGCAUGUCAAAAGUGCCUGCAUAUUCACUAUUAAGAGAGUUUGAGCUGUAGCCUCUCCAUGCUGUGUCUCAUCUGGAUUGCAGUCUGCAGGCAAUGUGUGAAGCUAAUUAGGAAAGCCUUGGUGCUGCGGUGAUUUAAGUAGGAGCUGGAGACUUCUCUGCCUGAAUUAGGGACUUGCCUGGAGAUUACUUGCUCCUUGUCUUUUUUGUCUUUACUCAAAAGCCACAGAAUGCACAGCUGACACUGCCCUGUAUCUGCCUUUGGCCUGCAGUUUUUAGACCCCAUUGCUGUUAUGCUAUUCCUUUCAACCACCGUUCCAAACCAAAGUUACAGAAUUUCAGUAUGAAAUCAAGUAUUUGCUCAAAUGUAGGUGCUUUCACAUAAGAGUUCUGUGUUUGGAGUUAGACUGGAGCUAGAGCUGCAGAACUAAUACUCCACAUUCAUUUCUCUCAAAUUCUCAGAGGGGGAAAAAAUGUAACCUUCUGUAUUUAGAACUAUCCAUACAACUUCCUUACUGGUGAAAGCAGCAACCUUCCUUUCUGCUGUCCAAGGCAACAGGAUCCUUAAAUAUACAGUCCUGAAAAUACCACAGAAGAAUCACUUUGGGAAUGCUCCCUUGUAAAAACAUUUCUGAAUUAUGAGAGUGUUGGAUCAAAGCGCGUGCUCUUUUAGACCCAGCUAUGAAUUAAUUGGUAAUGUGAUUUUGUUAUGCAGAUAUGGGAAGUCUGCAUGCAUCACCUAUGUUGUCCCAGGUCCAAACCAAGCCCGUAA